GCUCUGUAACAUCACGGACAGAAGGCACAAUUGUUUCUGCUGUGAUUCCAAAACCAACUGUCGAGAGAAGGCCUUUGGGAGAAGAGCAGUGAGCCAGACAGCAGGCUCCCUGGCAGCGCUGGAUGGAGUUCAAGGAAAAUCGUUUGCCUCACCACCCUCCUAUGCUGCUCAGUGAAACGCCCACAGAACCUGCCAGCUGGACCGUCAGCUUGCAGUACAGCUCCUGCUACCAUUUCUAAUCUCUUCAGUGGACCCUGAUUAUUUCGCUGGCUCUAACUUAGACACCCCCGAUUUACCAGACCGUAAUUGCAGGAAUCCCCUCCUUGCAGGAAUCCCCUCCGCGGGGCUGCGUAACGCCAGCGCGCCGAGGCACAUGCGAGCAGGAUUCUUGUGUUCGGGGCUUUCAGUAGGUGAGACGUGGCCCUUUCUCUCUCCGUCCGCUACUCUAAUCUCAGGUGCGUCAU
Molecule: long non-coding RNA, 464 nt
Organism: Gymnogyps californianus (California condor)
Lineage: Eukaryota; Metazoa; Chordata; Aves; Accipitriformes; Cathartidae
Exons: 3
Source: RefSeq, a predicted model, not a curated record